RNAcentral lists this long non-coding RNA (869 nucleotides) under Olea europaea subsp. europaea. The record is from RNAcentral. Lineage: Eukaryota; Viridiplantae; Streptophyta; Magnoliopsida; Lamiales; Oleaceae.
CCAAAAUUCUUAUAGAUUCAGUCAAUACACCAAUAGUCAAUUAGAAAAUUUCUUAAAUUUCAGUCAAUCAAUUCGUAUAACAAGUAAAGAUAAUUGUGAAUCGAUAAAGUUCUUUCUAAAUUUUUCCGUUUCAAAAGCCCUAAAAAAUUUCAAAAUGUAAUAUAGAAAAUGCCAACCCGGAAACAAUAAAACCCUUCAUCAAUUUAACAUUAGUCCACAAAAUUGAAAGCCAAAAAACCUCCAUUAAUCAUCGUCACGCUUCUUAGGCUUGCGGUAAUUUUCUUCAAUAUGUUUGGCAAUCUAGAGGCUGGUGUUGAACAGCUUCCGGAUGUUGGGGACGUCGUAAUUCUGAGCCACAUAAACUCCUACUGCUGAGCCCAUCAUGAAUGAGAAGCAACUUCUUAUAAUUCCCAUCCUCCCCUUUUUUCAGAUCUCUUCGAUUUCUAAUAAGAUUCAAACUUUAACUGGUAAUCUGGUAAUUUGGAUAUGGGGUUUUUUGGUACGUUUUUAAAUAAACAGGGGGCCGGAUUAGUUCAGGUCUUUGCGGGAAGGGAAAAGCUGUUCGAAUAGGGCGUCACCUUUAUUGUCCCGACGUGACCCAGUUCAUCUAGCAAAACCCGUGCCUGAAGUAGUGGAGUUAAUAAUCCGACGAGCCGGCUUGGCUUGAUCCCCCGCCAGUUCGUAUUUGCUUUGAACGACUUAAACAAGAUCAGCUCAUUUCAAAAUGGAUUAUAUUACCCCCCACAAAAUGUUAUAUCCACGGUACAAAAGAGAUGGCAACUGAACGACUAGGAAUCGAAGCAACCGCUCCCGCCCUCCAUCCCGUCCGAUAAUAUUUCGCCUCGCUAUCCGGUUAAGGCAGGAAGUGG